UAGCCGUAAACGAUGCGGACUGGGUGUUGGGAUGGCUUUGAGCUGUUCCGGUGCCGAAGGGAAGCUGUUAAGUCCGCCGCCUGGGAAGUACGGUCGCAAGACUGAAACUUAAAGGAAUUGGCGGGGGGAGCACCACAACGCGUGGAGCCUGCGGUUUAAUUGGAUUCAACGCCGGAGAUCUCACCAGGGGCGACAGCAGUAUGAUGGCCAGGUUGAUGGCCUUGCUUGACAAGCUGAGAGGAGGUGCAUGGCGUCAGUGACU
Molecule: ribosomal RNA, 262 nt
Filed under: uncultured archaeon
Lineage: Archaea
Description: partial 16S ribosomal RNA
Rfam family: Archaeal small subunit ribosomal RNA
Source: RNAcentral